GCCUGGUGUUUGCCAAGGCUUUAGUGCUGAGCGAGUGCUAAGCAGGGGUGGGGAGGAAGCAGCUGACCAGGCCCUGCAGUCAAUGACCAGUGAAGCUUGUCAGAGGGCACCCCUGGGUUACCCCUCACUCUCAGAGGCUUAGUAGUUGAGCAAGAGUUACACCCAAGAGUGUUUAAAUCAGGCAUUCUAGGUAGCUGGUCCCAAAGGCAACUGUAUACCAGAACCUCAGGGGCAGCAGAGAAGUUGCUUAAAAACAGUUUCAGGACCAGAGGGUUUCAUUGGUGUCUUCUCAUAAACAUGUAAAGAAGAAUUAACACCAAAUCCUUCUUAUUUGUCCAAAGGAUUCAAAUAAGAGGAAAUAUUUUCUUAACUCAUCCCAGGAGACCAGACUUACCCUGAUAUGGAGGCCCAAAAAAGACACCGCAAGAAAAGCAAACUACAGAUCACUACCUGCUGCAAACACAGAGGCAAAAGUCCUCAACAGGAUACCAGCAAAUCAAACUCGGCAGUGUGGUGAAUUCUUCAUAAUAACUACCACCCAGAUCAAGAAAGACAAUAUCAGACCUUUUCCUGCCUCUCCAAAGUAAUCACUAUCCUGAC
Molecule: long non-coding RNA, 600 nt
Filed under: Heterocephalus glaber (naked mole-rat)
Lineage: Eukaryota; Metazoa; Chordata; Mammalia; Rodentia; Bathyergidae
Description: lncRNA (ENSHGLG00000034362.1)
Source: RNAcentral